AGAGUGCAUUUAUAGACACAGCCACAAGCCCUUAGGAAGCACAUACUUUGUUACAAGUAGCUCCACCCCAGACCUUGAAGACAAGGCUGCCAGGGCCUGGGUCUGACCCUCUAGGAGUUCAAUGAGAAAGAUAGAAAUGGCAGGUCUGGGUAAUCUGCCUUGGCCUUGCCACCAACCUAAGUCUAGGCAAAGGGGGAGCCCUUCUUCUGCUAGUCAAGGGGGGGUGGGGGCUUCAGGUGGAAGACGCCUAGCCCAACCUUCUCAGCUCUACUCCUGCAUUCAAGGCCUGCACAGGUGAUUCC
Perognathus longimembris pacificus (Pacific pocket mouse) is the source of this 302-nucleotide long non-coding RNA. RefSeq lists it as uncharacterized. The transcript is spliced from 3 exons. The record is from RefSeq and is a predicted model, not a curated record. NCBI's taxonomy places the organism in Eukaryota, Metazoa, Chordata, Mammalia, Rodentia, Heteromyidae.